AUACGUAGGGGGCGAGCGUUGUCCGGAAUGACUGGGCGUAAAGGGCGUGUAGGCGGCUUUAUAAGUCUGGAGUGAAAGUCCUGCUUUCAAGGUGGGAAUUGCUUUGGAGACUGUAGAGCUUGAGUGCGGAAGAGGUGAGUGGAAUUCCCAGUGUAGCGGUGAAAUGCGUAGAGAUUGGGAGGAACACCAGUGGCGAAGGCGACUUUCUGGGCCGUAACUGACGCUGAGGCGCGAAAGCGUGGGGAGCGAACAGGAUUAGAUACCCUGGUAGUCCACGCGGUAAACGAUGAAUGCCAGGUGUUGCGGGUAUCGACCCCUGCAGUGCCGUAGUAAACACAAUAAGCAUUCCGCCUGGGGAGUACGGCCGCAAGGUUGAAACUCAAAUGAAUUGACGGGG
Molecule: ribosomal RNA, 397 nt
Filed under: uncultured bacterium
Lineage: Bacteria
Description: partial 16S ribosomal RNA
Rfam family: Bacterial small subunit ribosomal RNA
Source: RNAcentral